GGGGGUGACCGGUUUUGACAGCGGGUAGAAGUAAUGUGUAAGCAUGCAGAGAGACGUCACCUAUCUCUUUAAUCCACGAUGGCAAAAUUUUAAUUGGCGAAUCAAAUUACGCUCUUGCUGCUUAAUCGAAGUAUAGUAGAUAUAGCUUAAUCUCUUCCACAAUUGGUAGAGACAAGACAUCACCCGGAUGCUGUUGUUCCGAAGCGGUCCGAUCCGGUGGUGCUGGAAUAUCGGAAAUAGUUGUUACAGGCUUCGCUGUAAUGAUGAAAAUUUAGAAGAUAAGGUUUACAUUGGUGGUUUCGGUCUUGUGUAAACACGAAAAUUUAGGCGGAAAUAAGCAUGUAGAAAGCUCAUUGGUUCCCUGUUUGGACGGGAGUUCGACUCUCCCCACUUCCAC
Molecule: transfer-messenger RNA, 397 nt
Filed under: fish gut metagenome
Rfam family: transfer-messenger RNA
About the family: Bacterial tmRNA, also known as 10Sa RNA or SsrA, is named for its dual tRNA and mRNA-like properties. Its role is to liberate the mRNA from a stalled ribosome.
Source: RNAcentral